CCUACGGGAGGCAGCAGUAGGGAAUCUUCCGCAAUGGACGAAAGUCUGACGGAGCAACGCCGCGUGAACGAUGAAGGCCUUCGGGUCGUAAAGUUCUGUUGUUAGGGAAGAACAAGUGCUAGUUAAAUAAGCUGGCACCUUGACGGUACCUAACCAGAAAGCCACGGCUAACUACGUGCCAGCAGCCGCGGUAAUACGUAGGUGGCAAGCGUUGUCCGGAAUUAUUGGGCGUAAAGCGCGCGCAGGCGGUUUCUUAAGUCUGAUGUGAAAGCCCCCGGCUCAACCGGGGAGGGUCAUUGGAAACUGGGAAACUUGAGUGCAGAAGAGGAAAGUGGAAUUCCAAGUGUAGCGGUGAAAUGCGUAGAGAUUUGGAGGAACACCAGUGGCGAAGGCGACUUUCUGGUCUGUAACUGACGCUGAGGCGCGAAAGCGUGGGGAGCAAACAGGAUUAGAUACCCUGGUAGUCCACGCUGUAAACGAUGAGUGCUAAGUGUUAGAGGGUUUCCGCCCUUUAGUGCUGAAGUUAACGCAUUAAGCACUCCGCCUGGGGAGUACGGUCGCAAGCUGAAACUCAAAGGAUUGACGGCUGNGAGNGCGACGCGACACGAGGGAGAGG
Molecule: ribosomal RNA, 616 nt
Filed under: uncultured bacterium
Lineage: Bacteria
Description: bacterial SSU rRNA
Rfam family: Bacterial small subunit ribosomal RNA
Source: RNAcentral